GGGGGGACCACCCUCCAAGGCUAAAUACUCCCUCGUGACCGAUAGUGCACCAGUACCGUGAGGGAAAGGUGAAAAGUACGCCAGGUGGCGAGUGAAACAGACCCUGAAACCGUGUGCCGACAAGCGGUGGGAGGACGUCCGGCGGCUUCGGCCGCCGCGUGUCUGACCGCGUGCCUUUUGCAUUAUGAUCCGGCGAGUCAGUCCUCAGAUGCAUGGUUAAGGUCCUCAGGACCGGAGCCACAGCGAAAGCGAGUCUGAAAUGGGCGUUGGUAUCUGGGGCUGGACCCGAAGCCGAGGCGAUCUACCUAUGGCCAGGUUGAAGCGUGCGUAACAGCGCGUGGAGGACCGAACCGUUGUGGGUUGAAAACCGCUCGGAUGAGCUGUGGGUAGGGGUGAAAGGCCAAUCAAGCUCGGAGAUAGCUGGUUCUCCCCGAAAUCUAUUUUGGUAGGGCCUCCGGAAAUGAGCGCACGGGAGGUAGAGCACUGGAUGGGUCCGGGAACCGACGAGGUUUACCACCCCCAACCAAACUCCGAAUGCCUGUGCGUGCUGCCGGGGAGGCAGUCGUAGGGCGAUAAUGUCCUAUGGCGAGAGGGAAAGAACCCAGACCCUCUGCUAAGGCCCCAGAGUGACGGCUAAGUGUAGCGAAGGAUGUGGUCAUGCUUAGACAGCUGGGAGGUUGGCUUAGAAGCAGCCAUUCCUUUAAAGAGUGCGUAACAGCUCACCAGUCAAGCGUGGCCGCGCCGAGAAUGGUCGGGACUAUGAAGCCGUCCGCCGAAGCAAGGGCUUGGACCGCGGUUCGCCGCGGCCCAGGGGUAGGGGAGCGUUCCCGGAGCUGCGAAGCGCGGGCGGAAGCUUACGCGUGGAGCGACGGGAAGUGAGGAUGCCGGAACGAGUACGCGCGAAGCGGGGCGAGAACCCCCGCCAUCGAAAACCUAAGGGUUCCUGAGCCAUGGCGAUCAGCUCAGGGUUAGUCGGUCCCUAAGCCGAGGCCGAGAGGCGUAGGCGAUGGGAAACGGGUCAAUAUUCCCGUACCACGUCGUGGCCGUUCGAUCCCAAGGGGGGACGCAGGAGCAAGCUUGCCGUCGGAGGGUGGUUGUGCCGAUGUAAGGUGGUAGGCGUUCCCGGGUAGGCAAAUCCGCCCGGGUAGCCGAGCGCCGAUGCCAAAGGGUCCUUCGGGACCCGCAAAGGGCAGGUGACGCACACUGCCGAGAAAAGCCCCGUGGGUAGGACACGACGCGACCGUACCGCAAUCCGACACAGGUAGGUGAGGCGAGAAGCCUAAGAUGCUCGAGUGAUUUACGGUCAAGGAACUCGGCAAAAUUACCCCGUAACUUCGGGAGAAGGGGUGGCGGUAGUAGGUGAAGGCGAUGCAGCCCGAGCCCAAUCCGCUCGCAGAGAAUCGCGUCAAGCGACUGUUUAGCAAAAACACAGGUGCCUGCCAACGCGUGAUCCAAGCAGACGUAUAGGCACUGACGCCUGCCCGGUGCCGGAAGGUUAAGGUGAGCGGUCAGCCGCAAGGCGAAGCUGCGAGCCGAAGCCCCGGUAAACGGCGGCCGUAACUAUAACGGUCCUAAGGUAGCGAAAUUCCUUGUCG
RNAcentral lists this ribosomal RNA (1595 nucleotides) under soil metagenome. RNAcentral's name for it is "bacterial LSU rRNA". It matches the Rfam family "Bacterial large subunit ribosomal RNA", at positions 446 to 1974 of the family's 2925-position model. The record is from RNAcentral.